AUACGUAGGGUGCGAGCGUUGUCCGGAAUUACUGGGCGUAAAGAGCUCGUAGGUGGUUUGUCGCGUCGUCUGUGAAAUUCCGGGGCUUAACUCCGGGCGUGCAGGCGAUACGGGCAUAACUUGAGUACUGUAGGGGAGACUGGAAUUCCUGGUGUAGCGGUGAAAUGCGCAGAUAUCAGGAGGAACACCGGUGGCGAAGGCGGGUCUCUGGGCAGUAACUGACGCUGAGGAGCGAAAGCAUGGGUAGCGAACAGGAUUAGAUACCCUGGUAGUCCAUGCCGUAAACGGUGGGCGCUAGGUGUAGGGGUCUUCCACGACUUCUGUGCCGUAGCUAACGCAUUAAGCGCCCCGCCUGGGGAGUACGGCCGCAAG
Molecule: ribosomal RNA, 372 nt
Filed under: uncultured bacterium
Lineage: Bacteria
Description: partial 16S ribosomal RNA
Rfam family: Bacterial small subunit ribosomal RNA
Source: RNAcentral